GAGCUAAUGAGCUUUUAAAUUAUUCCGUCGUGGAACGAAGAAGGGGCGUCUACAGAGGGCCAAAAUUGUAAAAGAGGAAAAGUUGCGUAACAACUUCAGUAAAGACACAGUCACCGAAUACAAAGGAUAACCCCGAAUACCGGUAGAAACGAGAAAAGAACCACAACGUGAAACCAGUGAGAGUGAAAGGCAAGAGA
Long non-coding RNA from Acromyrmex echinatior (Panamanian leafcutter ant), 197 nucleotides. NCBI's taxonomy places the organism in Eukaryota, Metazoa, Arthropoda, Insecta, Hymenoptera, Formicidae. The record is from RefSeq and is a predicted model, not a curated record.